This is a long non-coding RNA of Trichomycterus rosablanca, 293 nucleotides long. RefSeq lists it as uncharacterized. NCBI's taxonomy places the organism in Eukaryota, Metazoa, Chordata, Actinopteri, Siluriformes, Trichomycteridae. The transcript is spliced from 3 exons. The record is from RefSeq and is a predicted model, not a curated record.
AAGUGGUUUGUUCUACCACCAGUCAAUUAAUGAACGAGGAAUCGGAACAAAGAGGAGACUGUUUAUGCCAGUGCAGGGCUGAAGAUCCAUGGAGUAGCAACCAGUGGCCAUGUUUACCUCCAUCCUGUUUUAAUGUGAGGAACACGGUGGUGGUCGGUGUUGAGGUGGAUGUUCUAGAAGAGCUGGUCUUUGAGGACACAGAAAUCAUGGAAACACAGACAAUAUGUGAUGGAUGCCUGGAGAAUCAUGUGAUGGACUCUGCUUCAGUUUAUUCAUGCAGCUGUAAUCAUUUA